This 711-nucleotide ribosomal RNA is filed under the name uncultured bacterium. RNAcentral describes it as "bacterial SSU rRNA". It matches the Rfam family "Bacterial small subunit ribosomal RNA", at positions 124 to 848 of the family's 1533-position model. The record is from RNAcentral.
AUUUGCCUUCGGGUGGGGAAUAACUUGUGGAAACGCAAGCUAAUACCGCAUAAUGCAGCGGCAUCGAAAGAUGACAGUUGUUAAAGCUAUAUGCGCCUGAAGAGAAGCCUGCGGCAGAUUAGGUAGUUGGUAAGGUAAUGGCUUACCAAGCCUGCGAUCUGUAUCCGGUCUAAGAGGACGGUCGGACACACUGACACUGAACAUACGGGUCAGACUCCUACGGGAGGCAGCAGCCGGGAAUUUUGGGCAAUGGGCGAAAGCCUGACCCAGCAACGCCGCGUGAAGGAUGAAGUAUUUCGGUAUGUAAACUUCGGAAGAAUGGGAAGAAUAAAUGACGGUACCAUUUUUAAGCCCCGGCUAACUCCGUGCCAGCAGCCGCGGUAAUACGGAGGGGCAAGCGUUGUUCGGAUUUACUGGGCGUAAAGGGCGCGUAGGCGGCGCAACAAGUCACUUGUGAAAUCUCCGGGCUUAACUCGGAACUGCCAAGUGAUACUGUCGUGCUAGAGUGCARAAGGGGCAAUCGGAAUUCUUGGUGUAGCGGUGAAAUGCGUAGAUAUCAAGAGGAACACCAGAGGCGAAGGCGGAUUGCUGGGCUGACACUGACGCUGAGGCGCGAAAAGCUAGGGUAGCAAACGGGAUUAGAUACCCCCGGUAGUCCUAGCCUUAAACRAUGAAUGUUUGGUGUCUGGAGUUUGAGUCUCCGGGGUGCCG